UAAGUAAGUGGUGGAAAUUAAACCAAAUGGGAUAUCUUUAGUAAUUGCGAAUGAACAAGGAUAUGCUUAGCUUGACAAAUGGAGCUAUUGGCUUUGAAUUGUAUUGUGGAAAUGUAUUACCAACAGAGGUGCAGGUGCCAGCCUAUUGAAAUAAAGCGUCAAUGAGGGUGAGAAUCCUGUUUGUCAUGUGCAGCCCUUUGUGCACGGUGUAUAUUUGCUGAGUCACACUCCUUGGCAUUGGAAUGCAAAGUGGGUGGUAAGUUUCAUGUAAAGGUAAACAUGCAAUUGAGACUGAUAGCACACAAGUACCAUGAGGGAAAUAUGAAAAGGACUUUGAAAAGAGAAUUAAAUGAGUUUGUAUUUGCUGAACACAAAGUAAACAGACUUGAUUUGCUUGGUGGGAGUGUUGCACUUGCUUGACAAGAGCUUUGGGCUGUGGGUGUAAUGAUUAUUUCUUUGCAUGCCAGUUUCUAUUUGUACAUCUGAUUACCUUUGCACAUGAAUGAUAAGUCUCCUGUGGGGGGUGGAUUGCAUGUGCAUGUAAUGAUUUGUGUUUUGAUAAAUGUGUCUGGUGUAUGUGUGUGUUCCUGUGCUUGGGGAUGCUUCCUUCCUUGGACUUACAAGCCCUGACACACACAUGCUGGCAAAAUGCUUCUGCUUGACCCG
Molecule: ribosomal RNA, 666 nt
Filed under: Alexandrium tamarense
Lineage: Eukaryota; Dinophyceae; Gonyaulacales; Pyrocystaceae
Description: eukaryotic LSU rRNA
Rfam family: Eukaryotic large subunit ribosomal RNA
Source: RNAcentral